GUAAGGAAUAUUGGUCAAUGGGCGCAAGCCUGAACCAGCCAUGCCGCGUGCAGGAAGACGGCCCUAUGGGUUGUAAACUGCUUUUAUCAGGGAAUAAACCCCCGCUCGUGAGCGGGGCUGAAGGUACCUGAAGAAUAAGCAUCGGCUAACUCCGUGCCAGCAGCCGCGGUAAUACGGAGGAUGCAAGCGUUAUCCGGAUUCAUUGGGUUUAAAGGGUGCGCAGGCGGAUUGGUAAGUCAGGGGUGAAAUCCCACAGCUCAACUGUGGAACUGCCUUUGAUACUGUCAGUCUAGAGUAUAGUUGAAGUUGGCGGAAUGUGUCAUGUAGCGGUGAAAUGCUUAGAUAUGACACAGAACACCGAUCGCGAAGGCAGCUAGCUAAGCUAUAACUGACGCUCAUGCACGAAAGCGUGGGGAUCAAACAGGAUUAGAAACCCGGGUAGUCC
RNAcentral lists this ribosomal RNA (445 nucleotides) under uncultured bacterium. Its description in RNAcentral is "partial 16S ribosomal RNA". It matches the Rfam family "Bacterial small subunit ribosomal RNA", at positions 354 to 796 of the family's 1533-position model. The record is from RNAcentral.